RNAcentral lists this ribosomal RNA (465 nucleotides) under uncultured bacterium. RNAcentral describes it as "partial 16S ribosomal RNA". It matches the Rfam family "Bacterial small subunit ribosomal RNA", at positions 28 to 507 of the family's 1533-position model. The record is from RNAcentral.
GAUGAACGCUGGCGGCGUGCUUAACACAUGCAAGUCGAACGGAGAAGGCCAAGCUUGCUUUGGUAGUCGAGUGGCGAACGGGUGAGUAACACGUAGGUGAUCUGCCCUGCACUUCGGGAUAAGCCUGGGAAACUGGGGCUAAUACCGGAUAGGACCACAUAUUGCAUGGUGUGUUGGAAAGUGUUUCGAAGUGGGAUGUGCGAGCGGCCUAUCAGCUGUUUGGUGGGGUAAGGGCGUCACACGGCGACGACGGGUAGCCGCCCUGAGAGUGUGUACGGGCACAGUGUGACUGAGGUACGGGCCGUACGGCUACGGCGGGCAUGGGCGGAGGACUUUGCAAACUGGGCGGCAGCCGUGUGGAGCGUCUCCGCGUCGGAGAGGACGGCUGUCGGGUUGGAAACUCUUUUCGCUAGGGACGAAGCGCCAGUGACGGUACCUUGCGAAGAAGCACCGGCUAACUACGUG